CUUGACAGCCAUAUCACCCUGCAGCCCAAGACCGGUUACUCACUGAAGCUAAGCAGGGCUGAGCCUGGUCAGUACCUGGAUGGGAGACCACUAGGGAACACUAGGUUGCUGUUGGAA
Molecule: ribosomal RNA, 117 nt
Filed under: Danio rerio (zebrafish)
Lineage: Eukaryota; Metazoa; Chordata; Actinopteri; Cypriniformes; Danionidae
Source: RNAcentral